AUGGACCACCAACUGUCCAGAUUUUGUCAGUAUCUCCAUUUGAAUAAAAAAGGGAAAUACAUAAAUCCUGGACAGUUGGUGGUCCAUGAGGACU
This 94-nucleotide microRNA precursor is filed under the name Pelobates cultripes (western spadefoot toad). Lineage: Eukaryota; Metazoa; Chordata; Amphibia; Anura; Pelobatidae. The record is from RNAcentral.